Molecule: transfer RNA, 69 nt
Filed under: Limbodessus yarrabubbaensis
Lineage: Eukaryota; Metazoa; Arthropoda; Insecta; Coleoptera; Dytiscidae
Description: tRNA-Leu
Source: RNAcentral
UUACUACUUUGGCAGAUUAGUGUGGUAAAUUUAGAAUUUAUUUAUGUAAAUUUUUUUUUACAGGUAAUU